GCUUUGGUUCUAGGAAAACGCUCUGGAAAGAGCGGCCAUAGAAGGUGAUAGCCCUGUAUCUGAAAGGGCCAUUUCAGUGAAGAUGAGUAGGGCGGGACACGUGGUAUCCUGUCUGAAUAUGGGGGGACCAUCCUCCAAGGCUAAAUACUCCUGACUGACCGAUAGUGAACCAGUACCGUGAGGGAAAGGCGAAAAGAACCCCGGGAGGGGAGUGAAAAAGAACCUGAAACCGCAUGCUUACAAAAAGUAGGAGCCCGCAAGGGUGACUGCGUACCUUUUGUAUAAUGGGUCAGCGACUUACAUUCAGUGGCAAGGUUAACCGAAUAGGGAAGCCGUAGAGAAAUCGAGUCCGAAUAGGGCGUCCAGUCGCUGGGUGUAGACCCGAAACCAAGUGAUCUAUCCAUGGCCAGGA
This 412-nucleotide ribosomal RNA is filed under the name Xanthobacter autotrophicus. Its description in RNAcentral is "partial 23S ribosomal RNA". It matches the Rfam family "Bacterial large subunit ribosomal RNA", at positions 318 to 745 of the family's 2925-position model. The record is from RNAcentral. Lineage: Bacteria; Pseudomonadati; Pseudomonadota; Alphaproteobacteria; Hyphomicrobiales; Xanthobacteraceae.